GACGAACGCUGGCGGCGUGCUUAACACAUGCAAGUCGAACGGAAAGGCCCUGCUUUUGUGGGGUGCUCGAGUGGCGAACGGGUGAGUAACACGUGAGUAAGCUGCCCUGGACGUUGGGAUAACUUCAGGAAACUGGGGCUAAUACCGGAUAGGAGCGCCUGCUGCAUGGUGGGGGUUGGAAAGUUUCGGCGGUUGGGGAUGGACUGGCGGCUUAUCAGCUUGUUGGUGGGGUAGUGGCUUACCAAGGCUUUGACGGGUAGCCGGCCUGAGAGGGUGACCGGCCACAUUGGUACUGCGAUACGGCCCAGACUCCUACGGGAGGCAGCAGUGGGGAAUAUUGCACAAUGGGCGGAAGCCUGAUGCAGAAACGCCGCGUGCGUGAUGACGGCCUUCGGGUUGUAAACCGCUUUCGCCUGUGACGAAGCGUGAGUGACGGUAAUGGGUAAAGAAGCACCGGCUAACUACGUG
This 468-nucleotide ribosomal RNA is filed under the name uncultured bacterium. Its description in RNAcentral is "partial 16S ribosomal RNA". It matches the Rfam family "Bacterial small subunit ribosomal RNA", at positions 28 to 507 of the family's 1533-position model. The record is from RNAcentral.